RNAcentral lists this ribosomal RNA (852 nucleotides) under uncultured Bacillota bacterium. RNAcentral describes it as "bacterial SSU rRNA". It matches the Rfam family "Bacterial small subunit ribosomal RNA", at positions 75 to 904 of the family's 1533-position model. The record is from RNAcentral. Lineage: Bacteria; Bacillati; Bacillota.
UUCCUUCGGGGAGCAAGUAGAGUGGCGCACGGGUGUAGUAACACGUAGGUAAUCUACCUUUGGAUUGGGAAUAACCACCGGAAACGGUGGCUAAUACCGAAUAAUGCAGCGGCACCUAAUGGUGACAGUUGUUAAAGCGGGGGAUCGCAAGACCUCGCGUCUGAAGAGGAGCCUGCGGCAGAUUAGCUAGUUGGUAAGGUAACGGCUUACCAAGGCGAUGAUCUGUAGCCGGCCUGAGAGGGCGGUCGGCCACACUGACACUGACAUACGGGUCAGACUCCUACGGGAGGCAGCAGUCGGGAAUUUUGGGCAAUGGGCGAAAGCCUGACCCAGCAACGCCGCGUGAAGGAUGAAAUCCUUCGGGAUGUAAACUUCGCAAGAACGGGAAGAAUAAGUAAGGGUUAAUAUCUCUUACGAUGACGGUACUGUUUGUAAGCUCCGGCUAACUCCGUGCCAGCAGCCGCGGUAAUACGGGGGGAGCAAGCGUUGUUCGGAUUUACUGGGCGUAAAGGGCGCGUAGGCGGCCACCGCAAGUCGACUGUGAAAUCUCCGGGCUUAACCCGGAAAGGUCAGCCGAUACUGCGGGGCUAGAGUGCAGAAGGGGCAACUGGAAUUCUCGGUGUAGCGGUGAAAUGCGUAGAUAUCGAGAGGAACACCUGCGGCGAAGGCGGGUUGCUGGGCUGACACUGACGCUGAGGCGCGAAAGCUAGGGGAGCGAACGGGAUUAGAUACCCCGGUAGUCCUAGCCUUAAACGAUGAAUGCUUGGUGUCUGGGGUUUUAUAGUCCCCGGGUGCCGUCGCUAACGCUUUAAGCAUUCCGCCUGGGGAGUACGGUCGCAAGACUGAACUCAA